AGCCCCGGCCUUUGGGUUUUGAAAGGGGAACCCCCCCCCCAAAUGGGACCGGCCACUGCUGGUCAGGAAGGGUGGGUCUGGCUGAGCAGGGAGAGGGGGGUCCAAAAGACCUAGGGGUGUGUGUGUGUGUGUGUGUGCGUGCAGGUGUUGCCAAGACACUGGUGCCACUGGGCAGCUGCUACAGAGGGGGCCAUAGAAGGAAGUCCUGCUAGAUCGUUGCCUGGGUUAAGAACAAACCAUGUUGGCUUCCUACAGCUGCUGAGCCAGCCGAAUUAGAUUAAAAAAGGCCACCUAAUGCAGCGCUUUCCAAACUUGGGACACGUUUCCCACAAAUUGGGUGGAGUCGCAUGCGCAAACUCAUCACCCAUGACGACAGGAGCCUUUAAACUGAUGUACAGAUGUGCCACGUGUGCUAAAAUGUAUUCGCGAAUCUCCCCGAGAAUUCCUGUUUAGAGGAAAACCAAUAAAGGUUGCCAAUGGGAAUUGGCUAAAAGGGCAGAUCGUCUGGUGCCACUGCAUGGCCCCACAGGAAACCCACCAGCCCCCAAACCCCAUGGACCUGGGCAUGAGGGUUGACCCCGAGACACCCCCAGGGCAAACGCAGGAGGGCAUCCAAAAGGCAAAUCCCCCCAGACUGGAGUCAGGGGGGAGCAGGCUUUAAGACUUGUGGACUUCAACUCCC
Non-coding RNA from Notechis scutatus (mainland tiger snake), 682 nucleotides. The record is from RefSeq and is a predicted model, not a curated record. NCBI's taxonomy places the organism in Eukaryota, Metazoa, Chordata, Lepidosauria, Squamata, Elapidae.